AGUAAAAGAGGAAUCGAUCUUAGGACUCAAUGAUAAAAUCACUAAUAUUUAACCAUCUAAUCAAAGAAGUUGAUGUAUUAACAAAUGUAAGUAAAGGAGGAAUCAAACUCAGGACUUAAGGGCAAAACCAUUUGUACGGGCCCAAUUCUACCCUGACCUUAAACACAAAACACACAAUAAUAAACAAAAUUAAAACAAAAUCCGUAGCCCAAAUAAAAACACAACAGAGGCCCAAGAUGGCAAAACCCUAGCCCAAUUCAGCUCACAACCAGCAGCCUCAGUGCGCCGUACGUCUCCUCGUGCAUUUGCAGCGCACUCAACGCCCGAAGCACGACCAGUUUUGCACCAAAAAGGCUAGGUUUAUUCUUCCAAUACCCGUUGACUUCACCAGUACCUGCAAGCAAAGCAAAGAAAGGGGAACAACAGCAGCAACAGUAGCAAUAUUGGACAGAAAUGAUGAAAAUAAAAUAGGAAAUAGAUUUUUAGGAUUAUCUUUUGGCUAUAAAAGCCACCAAAAUCUAUAUUCAAAAAAAAAAAAGGGAGCAGAUCAAAAAAAAUUGAAAAGGUUGACUCCAAAUUUCUUUCUCUGUUCUUAAUAAUUUUUUUAUAUAUUCUUCUAUUUUCUGUUUUUUUACUACUCUUUGAAACUAAAAAAACAAAACGAAAAAGAAAGAAAAGGGACACUUACCGGUCUCGAAAGCCCGUCGCCGGAGACCAUCUUCGGUGUUGGAAUCGGACCGAGAAGGAGACGAAAGGUCUCUCCUUGUUUCGGCUUGUUUGGUCUGGAAGACCGGGCCUUAAGGUGGAGGUCGAGAACGGGGUUAAAAAGCCCUCCUUUUCUCGCUCCGACCACCGCUCGUGAAGGAGCUUUGGCCUUUGGAACCGCCGCUCGCCGGCGUGGGCCAUGUUUGGCUGCUGGGAACCUUGAAAGGGAGAGGAUAGGUUCAAUUUUUUUUUUCUUUAAAACACUGAUAAAAUGAAGUUAUAAAUUUU
Molecule: long non-coding RNA, 993 nt
Filed under: Gossypium barbadense (sea-island cotton)
Lineage: Eukaryota; Viridiplantae; Streptophyta; Magnoliopsida; Malvales; Malvaceae
Description: long non-coding RNA (GBAR_LNC020336)
Source: RNAcentral